GCCUAAUACAUGCAAGUCGAGCGAACUGAUUAGAAGCUUGCUUCUAUGACGUUAGCGGCGGACGGGUGAGUAACACGUGGGCAACCUGCCUGUAAGACUGGGAUAACUUCGGGAAACCGAAGCUAAUACCGGAUAGGAUCUUCUCCUUCAUGGGAGAUGAUUGAAAGAUGGUUUCGGCUAUCACUUACAGAUGGGCCCGCGGUGCAUUAGCUAGUUGGUGAGGUAACGGCUCACCAAGGCAACGAUGCAUAGCCGACCUGAGAGGGUGAUCGGCCACACUGGGACUGAGACACGGCCCAGACUCCUACGGGAGGCAGCAGUAGGGAAUCUUCCGCAAUGGACGAAAGUCUGACGGAGCAACGCCGCGUGAGUGAUGAAGGCUUUCGGGUCGUAAAACUCUGUUGUUAGGGAAGAACAAGUACAAGAGUAACUGCUUGUACCUUGACGGUACCUAACCAGAAAGCCACGGCUAACUACGUGCCAGCAGCCGCGGUAAUACGUAGGUGGCAAGCGUUAUCCGGAAUUAUUGGGCGUAAAGCGCGCGCAGGCGGUUUCUUAAGUCUGAUGUGAAAGCCCACGGCUCAACCGUGGAGGGUCAUUGGAAACUGGGGAACUUGAGUGCAGAAGAGAAAAGCGGAAUUCCACGUGUAGCG
This 653-nucleotide ribosomal RNA is filed under the name Priestia megaterium. RNAcentral describes it as "bacterial SSU rRNA". It matches the Rfam family "Bacterial small subunit ribosomal RNA", at positions 46 to 680 of the family's 1533-position model. Lineage: Bacteria; Bacillati; Bacillota; Bacilli; Caryophanales; Bacillaceae. The record is from RNAcentral.